GACGAACCGUGCGAACGUUAUUCGGAAUCACUGGGCUUAAAGCGCGUGUAGGCGGGUCGGUACGUCGGUCGCUGAAAUCCCCCGGCUUAACCGGGGAACGGGCGCCGAAACGGCCGGCCUGGAGGAACGUAGGGGGAGCUGGAACUUCCGGUGGAGCGGUGAAAUGCGUUGAGAUCGGAAGGAACGCCCGUGGCGAAAGCGAGCUCCUGGACGUUUUCUGACGCUGAGACGCGAAAGCCAGGGGAGCGAACGGG
This 254-nucleotide ribosomal RNA is filed under the name uncultured bacterium. Its description in RNAcentral is "partial 16S ribosomal RNA". It matches the Rfam family "Bacterial small subunit ribosomal RNA", at positions 524 to 776 of the family's 1533-position model. The record is from RNAcentral.